Molecule: long non-coding RNA, 943 nt
Filed under: Ananas comosus (pineapple)
Lineage: Eukaryota; Viridiplantae; Streptophyta; Magnoliopsida; Poales; Bromeliaceae
Description: long non-coding RNA (ACOM_LNC016619)
Source: RNAcentral
AUAAAAUUUUAUCAUCUUCUCUAAAAAGAUUAAAAUAUUAUAUACAUCCAUUUAAAUUGAAGAAAAUAACACAAUUACUCUUUACUAGUUAAGGUGUCCCGCGCGAUACAGCAUAAAAAUAAUACAACAGUAAAUUAUUAUAACUAUUAACAUCAUUUUUUUUCUAUUAUAUAUUAAUAUUUUUAAUAUUAUUUAUCUCAAGUAUUGAAUAAUUAAAAAUUAAAGAAUAAAUUAAAGAAUAAAAUUAAAGUAUAUUUCUUUCUAGAAAUAUUUAAACCUAAUAAGUAAAAUAAAAAUAUUAUAUUAUUAUAUAAAUUAAUNUAUAUUUCUUUCUAGAAAUAUUUAAACCUAAUAAGUAAAAUAAAAAUAUUAUAUUAUUAUAUAAAUUAAUUCUUAAAAAAUUAUUUUGGGACUAAAAUGAAAAACAUGCAAAGUUUAAGAAUUAGGAACUAAAAUAAAAAAGAGUAGUGCUGCUGGUACAACCCACAUUGAGUUGUAGAUCCUAUAACUCUUGUAUCCAACGGCUGAUAUAAAGUUGCUUUUGAAAAAAAAAAAAAAAAAAUAGUGUUAAUCUCACUCCCAUAUUUUGGCCCCUCAUUCUUUCCCUCUUUUUUAUGGCCUGCGAGCUAGAGAGAAAGAGGCGAGCGACCGACCGACCGACCGAGAGAGAGAGGAGAGCUCGAGCGAGAGCGGGGCGAAGGCGCGAGAGAGAGCGAGAGCAGCUGUGCUGUGCGAGAAACAGAGAGAGCGAGUGGCAGAGAAAGAGAGCACGAAGCUGGAUUCUGCGAUCGAAGUGGAUUCUACUAGCUCCGAUCUCCUCUUUUCUCCAUCUCUACUUUCUCUCUGUUUCUAUUCUUCCAUUCUUGUCCCAAUUUUCGGCGAACUUUUGUCGUGCGGCCAUCCUCACGGUCUCCUCCUCCAUUUUCGACUGGAGUUGUAAAGC